UCAGACGAUGCGUCAUGCAUAUCAAUAAGCGGAGGAAAAGAAACUAACAAGGAUUCCCCUAGUAACGGCGAGUGAAGCGGGAAGAGCUCAAAUUUGAAAUCUUAAAGGGUUUCCCUUUACGAAUUGUAGUUUAAAGAAGUGUUUUCUGUUGAGGUUUUGGUAAAAGUUCUUUGGAAUAGGACAUCAUAGAGGGUGAGAAUCCCGUAUUUGACCUUUACUUUCAACUUUGUGAUACACUUUCAAUAGAGUCGGAUUGUUUGGGAAUGCAGUCCAAAAUGGGUGGUAAAUUUCAUCUAAAGCUAAAUAUUGGCGAGAGACCGAUAGCGAACAAGUACCGUGAGGGAAAGAUGAAAAGAACUUUGAAAAGAGAGUUAAACAGUACGUGAAAUUGUCAAAAGGGAAGCGUUUGACACCAGUGUUGUUUUUCUGAAAAUCAAUUAAAGAACUGUUUAUGCUAAGCUGUUUAGACUUUAUCAGCUAUCUGUUUAGUUUUGAGCUUUUCUUUAAUGCACUUUUCAGUUAACAAGUCAACAUCAAUUUCUUUUGCUGUAAAAAAGCUUGAGGAAGGUGGCUUGAGAUUCGUCUUAAGUGUUUAUAGCCUCUUGCCUAUGCAGUCGGAGAGAUUGAGGUCUGCAGCGUAGAUCCUUCGGGGCUAAAUGCAUUUGUGCUAAGUUAUAGCAUUUUAUAGACAACUUGUUGACUAUGAUUUGUCUUGUAGCUUACUCGCUUAUGUUAUUUUACCUACGCUUAGGAUGUUGACACACGCGCGUGCUCG
Molecule: ribosomal RNA, 775 nt
Filed under: uncultured Neocallimastigales
Lineage: Eukaryota; Fungi; Neocallimastigomycota; Neocallimastigomycetes; Neocallimastigales
Description: partial large subunit ribosomal RNA
Rfam family: Eukaryotic large subunit ribosomal RNA
Source: RNAcentral